UACAGAGGGGGCAAGCGUUGUUCGGAAUUACUGGGCGUAAAGGGCGCGUAGGCGGCCCGCUAAGUCGAACGUGAAAUCCCCGAGCUCAACUCCAGAAUUGCCUUCGAUACUGGCUUUCUAGAGGCUGGAAGAGGUUAGUGGAAUUCCCAGUGUAGAGGUGAAAUUCGUAGAUAUUGGGAAGAACACCAGUGGCGAAGGCGGCUAACUGGUCCAGAUCUGACGCUGAGUGAGCGAAAGCCAGGGGAGCAAACGGG
RNAcentral lists this ribosomal RNA (254 nucleotides) under uncultured bacterium. RNAcentral describes it as "partial 16S ribosomal RNA". It matches the Rfam family "Bacterial small subunit ribosomal RNA", at positions 524 to 776 of the family's 1533-position model. The record is from RNAcentral.